Molecule: unclassified non-coding RNA, 440 nt
Filed under: Hevea brasiliensis (rubber tree)
Lineage: Eukaryota; Viridiplantae; Streptophyta; Magnoliopsida; Malpighiales; Euphorbiaceae
Source: RNAcentral
AUCAAGAUUCCAUAUUUCACUCCCCUGCACAUUUAACCAUUCUCUUUCCUCUCUUUUGAAGCGCAUUAAGCUCCCAAGAACUUUGGCUGCCAAAGGAAGUCCUUUGCACUUAUCUACAAUCUGUUUUCCGAUAGGUAACAGAUAUGGGAAAAGAUUUUCUUCUCCAUCCGGAAAGGCUCGCUUCUUGAACAAAGUCCCACAAUCAUCGUUAGUCAGGGCUUCCAAUUGGCAGUGACGAGUAUUGCUCAUUAUGGAUGCUACUUUCUGCCUACGAGUGGUGACAAUAACUUUGCUUCCAUCUGUAGCUCCUGCUAACAUGUUCCUUACUUUAUCCCAUUCAUCUUGAUCAUCAUUCCAUACGUCAUCCAACGCAAGUAAGAAUAUUUUUCCACACAAUGCUUCUCUUAACUGAGAUCGAAGCAAACCCAAUUGUAUUGUUG